AUACGAAGGUGGAAAGCGUUGUCCGGAAUUAUUGGGCGUAAAGCGCAUGUAGGCGGUAAUUUAAGUCUGUCGUGAAACUGCGUGGCUCAGCCCCGCAUGGCGUGGGAAACCCGGUUACUUGGGCGCAGGAGUGGAAAGGGGAACUCCCAGUGGAGCGUUGAAAUGCGAAGAUAUUGGGAAGUACACCGGUGGCGAAGGUGCUUUUCAGGACUGUAUCUGACGAUGUGAUGCGACAGCCAGGGUAGCGAACGGGCUUAGAUUCCCCGGUAGUCCUGGCCGUAUAGGAUGGGUAUUAGGUGUGGGAGGUAUCGCCCCCGUCCGCGCCGGAGUUAACGAAAUAAGUGCCCCGCCUGGGGAGUACGGCCGCAAGGCUUAAACUCAAAGGAAUUGACGGGG
Molecule: ribosomal RNA, 396 nt
Filed under: uncultured bacterium
Lineage: Bacteria
Description: partial 16S ribosomal RNA
Rfam family: Bacterial small subunit ribosomal RNA
Source: RNAcentral